Non-coding RNA from Momordica charantia (bitter melon), 5226 nucleotides. NCBI's taxonomy places the organism in Eukaryota, Viridiplantae, Streptophyta, Magnoliopsida, Cucurbitales, Cucurbitaceae. The record is from RefSeq and is a predicted model, not a curated record.
GCGGUUUCCACUACCAAAAAAAAAAAUAAUAAAAAAAAAGCCAGUUGUUCUCCUCGUUUCUUCCACUCAAUCGCGCGCCCCUAUCUGAACGCCGUCGUCGAAAUUGGUACGUUUUCCUUCGACGUUCUUCAUAGGUAGCGCGCCAUUGGCCCUCGCUUCGUCGGAGUUCCAUCAGAUCUAGGGCUCUCUCGGUUUGCCGAUCGGUAAACUGUUUGGUUCCUGGGAAAAUUAGGGAUUCCUCUCUCUGUUGUUCUUUAAUUUUCCCGGAAAGUAUAAGGAUUAAUCUUCGUUUUUUUUAUUCUGUAUACGCGCCAACAAGUGCGAGGACAACGUUACUAAACGUAGUCUUGGUAAAUUCUUGUUGGGAUUAGUUAUUUAAACAUCAAGAUUCAAAACCCUGCCAUAGAGACUCUACAUGUUUGUCGAUCUGUUCGGGUUCAGUUGUGUGUUGUUAUCGAGAUUUAUUCCCUCUAUCCAGGGUAUUGAAGUGUACUGGUGGUAAAUCUUGACGCCUGAAAGCUUUGGUGGGUUGAUUUGAUUUAGGUUUUUUGGAUUUAAGCAUUCGAUAUUUUGCCUAAGCUUACAAAUUGGGGCAACUACGGUUUCAUGGCUGAUCGGAACUCGGUGGUCGCUAAACCAAUCUGGAUGAAGCAAGCUGAAGAGGCGAAAUUGAAGAGCGAGGCUGAGAAAGAUGCAGCCGCGAAAGCUGCUUUCGAAGCUACUUUUAAAGGGGUCGAUAAGAUUCCUGCAAAAGAAGCAGCAUCCUCAGAUAGUGACUUCGAAGAUACCGAGGACUUGGAAAACAAGCCGAUUGGGCCUGUGGACCCUGCUAGAUGCACAGCAGCUGGAGCAGGCAUAGCUGGUGGCACGGCGUGUGUGCCAGCUUCGUUUACUGUGGUAACUAAGGAUGCCGAUGGGAGGAAAGUUCCCCGUGGUGGUGCACAGAUUAAAGUAAAGGUGUCGCCUGGUGUAGGUGUUGGUGGAACCGAGCAAGAUGGCAUUGUGAAGGAUAUGAAUGAUGGUACAUAUACGAUUACUUAUGUGGUGCCAAAAAGAGGGAAUUAUAUGGUUAAUAUUGAGUGCAACGGAAGACCAAUCAUGGGUAGUCCAUUCCCGGUGUUCUUUAGCGCAGGGGCAAGUUCUGGUGGACUCCUGGGUUUAGCUCCUUCAUCUUCAUUUCCAAAUUUGGUUAACCAAAAUAUGCCCAACAUGCCUAAUUAUUCAGGGUCUGUUUCGGGGGCAUUUCCUGGGUUGAUGGGAAUGAUUCCAGGCAUUGUAGCUGGUGCUUCUGGUGGUGCUAUCUUGCCUGGAAUUGGAGCAUCUCUUGGAGAAGUAUGUCGAGAAUAUCUUAAUGGUCAAUGUGCGAAAACUGAUUGUAAGUUAAAUCAUCCACCUCACAAUUUGCUCAUGACUGCAAUAGCUGCAACAACCACCAUGGGAACUAUCAGUCAGGUGCCUAUGGCACCUUCUGCAGCUGCUAUGGCGGCUGCUCAGGCUAUUGUUGCUGCCCAAGCCCUUCAAGCCCAUGCUGCUCAAGUGCAAGCACAACAAGCUCAAUCUGCAAAAGAAUCUUCUGGUUCAUCUGAAAAAUCCGGGAAGGCUGCUGAUGCACUGAAGAGAACGCUGCAAGUUAGCAAUCUUAGCCCAAUUCUCAACGUGGAACAGCUGAAACAACUUUUUAGUUUUUGUGGAACUGUUGUUGAAUGUAACAUUACUGAUUCAAAGCAUUUUGCUUACAUAGAAUACUCAAAGCCAGAAGAAGCUACUGCUGCUUUGGCAUUGAACAAUAUGGAUGUCGGAGGUCGGCCUUUGAAUGUAGAGAUGGCAAAAUCACUUCCACAGAAACCUGCUACAUCGAACCCUUCACUUGCUUCAUCUUCUCUGCCCAUGAUGAUGCAGCAAGCUGUAGCCAUGCAACAAAUGCAAUUCCAGCAGGCUUUACUGAUGCAGCAAACUGUGACAGCUCAGCAGGCUGCUAAUCGUGCAGCAACUAUGAAGUCUGCAACAGAGUUGGCAGCAGCUAGAGCUGCUGAAAUAAGCAAAAAACUUAAAGUUGAUGGACUUGUAAAUGAAGAAACCGAGACAAAAGAAAAAUCAAGGUCACCUUCAUUGUCUAGGGAGAAGUCAAAAUCCAAAUCAAGAUCACCAGUCAAGUACCGAAGUAGGCGGAGAUCUCCAACUUAUUCACCUCCAUAUCGUCACUCGAGAGAUCAUAGAUCUAGAUCACCGAUGAGAUCUCGCCAUUAUUCUAGGUAUGAAGAUGAUAGGAGAGCCUUUAGAGAAGCAAGAGAUGCUAGUGAAAGAUCUAGACGGCGAGACUUAGAUAGAUCAAGAAAUCAUCGUUCACCCAUCUCAAAGAAAAAUAGAAGUAGAAGCAUAAGUCCUCGAAGAAGAAAAUCAUAUAGAGCAGAUUCAGACUCUCCUAAUCACCCACGGGAACGUUCACCACAAAGAGGUAGAAAAUCAGAUCAUUCUGAUGUGAGAUCACCAAGUCGUCAUCACGGGAAAAGCAGAUCAUCCCCAAGAAAUGACGAUGGUGACAAACUAAAACAUAGAAGACGGUCAAGGUCUAAAUCUCUCGAGACUAAGCAUCAUUCUGAUGACAAAAUAAAUGAAACGCGACAUGGGAAAUCGAAGAAUCGGGAAAGAAGGCGGUCAAGAUCUGCUUCAUUUGAAGACAGGCAUAGUAAACGAAGAUUGUCCCCAAGAAGCACGGACAAGAAUGUUUCUAAACAUAGACGGCGGUCCAGAUCAAACUCUGUGGAAGUUAAGCAUCACUCUAAGGAGAAGGUGGAUGCUACCUCGUCAAAAUAUCAUAGUAGAAGGCGAUCACGAUCAAGUUCUUCAGAAAGUAAACAUCGUACUGAUAAUAAGGUAGAUAGCACUAGAGAUGAAAAAUUAAAGCAUCGUAGCAGAAGAAGAUCCAGAUCAAAAUCUGUAGAUGGUAAGCAUCACAAGAAGGAGAAAUCAGAUAGAAGCAGAGAUAAAAGGUCCAGGCAGCAUGAUAGAAGGCCAUCCAGAUCUAUAUCUCCUGAGGCUAGGCAUCAAAGAGGGACCAGGCUGUCUCCUACCAGUUCUGAUGAAAAUAAAUCAAAACAUAGGAGGUCGCAUUCCCCUGAAGAUAAGCAUCAUAUUCAUGUUACUGACAUAGAUAAUGGAUGUAUAGCUGAAAAUUCAAAGAAUCAUGAGAGACAGCGGUCCAGGUCAAUUUCAGGAGAAAAUGGAAAAAGUAAUUUAUCUCCGAGUCGGGAAGAAAAUGAAUUUAAACAUGGAGAGCAGUCAAUGCUAGAACCUGUUGGAGGAGGGCAUGAAGCUAGCCUCUCAAAGGUUGUAGACGAUAUGCCAACGGAAGAUGAUCAAGGUAGAAAAGGGUUAACCCAAUAUUACAAUGUCGAGGAACCAAGCCAAACUGAAGUGCCUGAUGUUGAGCAAGUUGAUUUAGCUGAAUUGAAGCUUCAAAAUCGUUGUGGAAGCAGUGAUAUUGAUACAAGUGGCUUCUUGGAUGUUAACGCAGGAAGUUAGAGUUUAAUGGAGUUUGUAAUUUUUCAAGUUCUCCUUGUCUGAUGCUCACAGUAGAUGUUCGACGGCACCUUAAUACAGAUGCAGUUUCUGGUGACUGACGUUGAGGAGAUGGAGUUACAUUAAUAUUUGACAUGAAAAUGGUUUACUGUAACACAAUCUGUGUGACAAGAAUAGAAGACUAUUGCAGAGUUGAAUACCUUGAUAAACUGGGUCAAAUUUCAUCCUCAGCAAUUAUAGCCUGGCUUGUUGGCGUUUUCAAGGGCAUCCAUUGCUUCUUAUGAGAAAGGGCUUCUUGUGUAGAAGAUUUGUUUGCAUUUCUCAGAAAAUUCUUCUGAUUUGUAGUUUUCAUCCAUCUUGUCUUUUGUCUUUGAUCAUCUUUUGCAGGUUGGCAGGCAAUAGUCUCUUUCAGUUGAUGUUGGUCUGCUUUAAGCAUUUGAAGUAAUGCUGUCCUUUUGUCUACAAGACAAGACACCCAGUAUCUGUAGGGCGCUUCUUUUACUGCUUGAUGUUAUUCGGGGUGAUUAUCGUUGGAGGUUUGUCGGGGUUGAUUUUCUCUUGUUUACACGAAGUUUAUCUUCGUUAGGCAAAGCUACUGUUAAAGGUCGGUUGAAACCACAGAUGUUGCUGGGAUUAAUUGCAUCAAAAUUGAACAUCCUUCUGGGUAUGAUCAGAAUGGCUGACUCACUUGGAAGCUUUUUUAUUCGUGGUGAAUUGCAAAUAUAUAUUUAACAGGUAAUAUUGUUUGUAACUGCUUGGUAGAGCAUGUCCAUAGGGGAAAGCUAUACAACUUAUCUAUUUGAUUAGAUUUUUAAUAUCCUAGGUUUAGAGUUUAUCAUUUUGGUGGGAUUUUUUUCAAAAGAGUAUAAAAUCGAAGUGAACCUUUAUUCACGAUUCGCUCUGCAUGAGGUGCUUGAAAAGCGCAUGUUGGACAAUGAAUCUAGAAUGAUACUCGAUGCAUGUGCUACAGGCGUUCUUUCCUUUUCCUCUUUUAUUUUUUCCGCUAAAUUAUAAACUUUAGCGUGUAAUGUUAUUGAGAUUGAAAAGAUGGUAAACAACCCUGAUUGAUGAAAUUGAGGAGGGAUUGUUUGUGGGAGAAGAUUAGCAUUAGCUGUACAAAUAAUUUUUCUGAUUGCUGGUUGUAGUAGUAGGAUAUUUGGUUGGGUAAAAACUUAACUGUUUAGUCUUUUUCACUGGUGUUUGUUCUUUUCUCCCUUCCCACUCCCCUUCUUUUUUGCCCCUUUCUUCUCCUCUUUCUUUUUCAAACAAUUUCUUGGUAGGAUAACCUGCAAAAUGAUGAUAUGAGAGCUGCAGCCUUGGGCUUCGAACUCGGGUUCCGACUUGGAUGGGGUGGAUGUCAAUGUCUUAGUUUGUGCUUGGUCUAUUGUUUCAGAAGGAACCGAGCACUGAGCUAUAGUGUUGCACCUCACAACUCGAAUCGUCAUCAUGUUUAUGCUAACUUGGUUCGAGUUGGAAUUUUUGUGCUUCCAAGUUUGAAUAGUCGAGAUUGAAGAAGUCUAGAUUUUUGUUUGGCCCCUAGUAGGCUUAGUAUUUUUUGCUUUAAAUUUGAAUAGUUGAGAGUGUUGAAACUUGGAAGUCUAGAUUUUUCUUUGCUCUGGUGAUCGCUCUCCCCACCUUAUCCACUAGUCAUUUCAAGACGUCUAAUUUAACAUUCACUUUUUUAUGCAAUUUCAUGCUAUUGAUGGA